Molecule: non-coding RNA, 490 nt
Organism: Chelonoidis abingdonii (Abingdon island giant tortoise)
Lineage: Eukaryota; Metazoa; Chordata; Testudines; Testudinidae
Source: RefSeq, a predicted model, not a curated record
CCCCCUUCCCUACAAGAUUCCCUGCCUACUGUGUCCCUCCUCACCCCCCGUCCUGCUGGAGAGGGGGAAGGAGAGGAGAGAUGGAGUGAAGUGGAGGGGGUGAAACCUGGGGCUGGAGAGGCGAGGCAGGGAGCUAGCCUCCCCCAGGAGAAGCUUCAUCCUCCACCCACACUUUCCCUGUCUCUGCCACUUCCCUCUCAAAUGCUGAUAGAAAUUCCCUCUAGUGCUUCCCCUGUUCUCUCUCAUUAUCACCUAUUAAGUGUUUUCCCAGCAUGGCAGAAUCUAGGAUAUCCAUCUGCAGGGAAAGAGCCUGGGGAAAUUCUGAUGUGAAAUGAACUAAAGCCUGUUCUGAAACCUCCACAACUGCCCUUCUUGCCCUGCCAGGCUGCAGAAUGACAUCCAUGUUUCGCUCCAGCUCAUCCCAUCCUCCCAUGGGACAGGAAAGAGAAAUGGCUGCAGAGGAGCCAGUUCAGGAGCCGGUGACCUGCAA